This is a long non-coding RNA of Hordeum vulgare subsp. vulgare (domesticated barley), 1081 nucleotides long. RefSeq lists it as uncharacterized. The record is from RefSeq and is a predicted model, not a curated record. The transcript is spliced from 2 exons. Lineage: Eukaryota; Viridiplantae; Streptophyta; Magnoliopsida; Poales; Poaceae.
GUCGUGGCGCCGACCGGAGAAGAGGCCGUCAAAGAGGCCCAUCGCGGUGCGUGGCGGCCGGCCGCAUCGCCCGUGGCUCCGUCAAGCGCACGCGCACGUACGCCCGGCCAAGGCGGCAAAGGGGGAUCGCGCAUGCCGUGGCGUGCUCCGGACGCGCUGCCCUUCUCGGGGAAGCACAACUCCGUCGGCCCGGGGUCCACGGUGCCCGAGGAGCAGCGGCAAUCGGCGCAGCAGGAGCCUUGAGCUGAAGGAGUCGUCUCCAUGUUGUCCUCGAUCGAGGUUACUUACAUGUGGAACUACUUACUAGGUACGUGCCUGACUGAUGGCCAUUAGAUCGAGUUUGCCGCGAAAAUUACAUAACGGCAUAAAUUUUCCUCUUGUUUUCGUGUACAUUCUACCAGUGAUCUGUUACCUGUUAGAUCUGCAUACUCCUCCAGCUGAGCUCGUUGUCACUGCUCCGGUUAAGUAAAGGUGAUCGAUACUGGCUAGUGGCUUGAGCAAGGAAUCAACUAACUAUAUCUACAUGAUGGAAAGAUGAGCUUCCUUUUGCCUCGUGUGCUUAUAAAUGACUCUGCCUAUUUAUGCAUCAUUAGCUGAAUCAAAUUCUCAUUCCGAUAGAGCAGGGCGCCUGUCUUUCCUCAACCCCCUGUUCUUUUAGAAAUUGAAAGUGAUGAAUUAUCAGCUUUCAGAGUGAGUGAGUGAGUGAGUGUGUGUGCGUGUGCGUGCAGCAAAAGUUUGGCAGAGCGAGUGAAUCUUCGACCGUUUGUCAUUUACCCCCAUUAUUGCUGCCAAGUGCCAACAUAUGGAGCUACCGGGCCCUGGCCUCCUUCUUCUUCACCGUCUCUCAUGGUCUCACUCUGCCAGCUAAAACAAUAUCUUGUCUCGGUAAACUGGCUUGGCAACGGUGAGCAAAGAAAAAAACAGAGGUUGAUGCUCUGGUUCAGAUUAUGUACAUGUCACCAAUGAAGUACUUUUAAUUGAUUGGUAACAGCCUGUCAGGCACAUUAGAGAUCAAGCAUAAAAACACUUGCUAGCUUACAACAGUAUGGAAGUACAGAAAGCACACUAUCAUUACACGGUU